UGAAUACGAGACGCUAAGGCGUCGAAGUAGUGUAUGUCAUACUUCCAAGAAAAGCUUGCACUGUCAUAGAUAAAAAACGCCUGUACCAUAACCGACACAGGUGGGUAGGUAGAGUAUACUAAGGGGCGCGAGAUAACUCUCUCUAAGGAACUCGGCAAAAUAACUCCGUAACUUCGGGAGAAGGAGUGCCUUAUUCGUAAGGUUGCAAUAACAAGAUCCAAGCAACUGUUUAUCAAAAACACAGGUCUCCGCUAAGUCGUAAGACGAUGUAUGGGGGCUGACGCCUGCCCAGUGCCAGAAGGUUAAAGAAGUUGGUUAGCAAUUGCGAAGCUGAUAACUGAAGCCCUGGUGAACGGCGGCCGUAACAAUAACGGUCCUAAGGUAGCGAAAUUCCUUGUCGGGUAAGUUCCGACCCGCACGAAAGGCGUAAUGAUUUGGAUACUGUCUCGGAGAGGGGCUCGGUGAAAUAGACUUGUCUGUGAAGAUGCGGACUACCUGCACCAGGACAGAAAGACCCUAUGAAGCUUUACUGUAACUUGAAAUUGAAAUUGGACUUUAUUCGCGCAGCAUAGGUGGGAGGCGUUGAUUAUAAUCUUGCGGGAUUAUUGGAGCCAUCAGUGAGAUACCACUCUUGUAAUGUUAGAUUUCUAACUUUGAAUCAUUAUCUGGUCAAAGAACAGUUUCAGGCGGGCAGUUUGACUGGGGCGGUCGCCUCCUAAACGGUAACGGAGGCGUACAAAGGUUUCCUCUGAACGGUUAGAAAUCGUAUCUAGAGUGUAAAGGCAUAAGGAAGCUUGACUGUGAGACCUACAAGUCGAGCAGGGACGAAAGUCGGUCUUAGUGAUCUGACGGUACUGAGUGGAAAGGCCGUCACUCAACGGAUAAAAGUUACUCUAGGAUAACAGGCUGAUCUCCCCCAAGAGUUCACAUCGACGGGGAGGUUUGGCACCUCGAUGUCGGCUCAUCGCAUCCUGGGGCGGUAGUACGUCCCAAGGGUUGGGCUGUUCGCCCAUGAAAGCGGUACGCGAGCUGGGUUCAGAACGUCGUGAGACAGUUCGGUCCAUAUCCGGUGUAGGCGUUAGAAUAUUGAGAGGAGCCUUCUUUAGUACGAGAGGACCGAGAAGGACAUACCUCUGGUGUACCAGUUAUCGUGCCAACGGUAAACGCUGGGUAGCUAUGUAUGGAGUGGAUAACCGCUGAAAGCAUCUAAGUGGGAAGCCCACCUCAAGAUAAGUAUUCUC
This 1241-nucleotide ribosomal RNA is filed under the name metagenome. Its description in RNAcentral is "bacterial LSU rRNA". It matches the Rfam family "Bacterial large subunit ribosomal RNA", at positions 1564 to 2815 of the family's 2925-position model. The record is from RNAcentral.